This 30-nucleotide non-coding RNA is filed under the name Rattus norvegicus (Norway rat). Lineage: Eukaryota; Metazoa; Chordata; Mammalia; Rodentia; Muridae. The record is from RNAcentral.
UAACAAUUCGAGCGCCUGGCCUACGGCAGG